AUGGUACUCCUCCCGUUCGGAAUUACUUGUCGCAGAAAUGGAUGUAUCUAGAUGUAUUUUAGUUCAUGAUACAUCCAUUUUCGUGACAAGUAAUUCCGAACGGAGGGAGUAGAUG
Non-coding RNA from Triticum aestivum (bread wheat), 115 nucleotides. NCBI's taxonomy places the organism in Eukaryota, Viridiplantae, Streptophyta, Magnoliopsida, Poales, Poaceae. The record is from Rfam.